CCUUCCCAGCUGGUCACUCCUCAGCUCCCACACCUGCUCCUCAGUCUCUAUGGCACUUACAUUUGUGUGAAACUAACCUGUUCAAUGACUUUUGUUUCCCCUGGUAGCACAUGGGCUCCCCAAGAGCAGGGACCCUGCUCUGCUCACCACUAUGAAAGGGUUAGUCACUCAGUCGUGUCUGACUCUUUCCGACCCCGUGGACUGUAGCCCGCCAGGCUCCACUGUCCAUGGAAUUCUCCAGGCAAGAAUACUGGAGUGGGUUGCCAUGCCCUUCUCCAGGGGAUCUUCCCAAU
Molecule: unclassified non-coding RNA, 293 nt
Filed under: uncultured bacterium
Lineage: Bacteria
Description: contains 16S-23S intergenic spacer region
Source: RNAcentral